AUACGGGGGAUCCGAGCGUUAUCCGGAAUUACUGGGCGUAAAGGGCGCGCAGGCGGAUAUUUAAGUCAGCUGUAAAAGGCAUGAGCUCAACUCAUGUAUGCGGUUGAAACUGGGUAUCUAGAGUGCUGGAUAGGUAGGCGGAAUUCCCGGUGUAGCGGGGAAAUGCGUAGAUAUCGGGAAGAACACCAGUGGCGAAGGCGGCUUACUGGCCAGCAACUGACGCUGAGGCGCGAAAGCCAGGGGUGCGAACGGGAUUAGAUACCCCGGUAGUCCUGGCCGUAAACGAUGAAUGCUAGGUGUGGGUGUCGAGAGGCAUCCGUGCCGGAGUUAACGCGAUAAGCAUUCCGCCUGGGGAGUACGAUCGCAAGAUUGAAACUCAAAGGAAUUGGCGGGG
This 394-nucleotide ribosomal RNA is filed under the name uncultured bacterium. RNAcentral describes it as "partial 16S ribosomal RNA". It matches the Rfam family "Bacterial small subunit ribosomal RNA", at positions 523 to 918 of the family's 1533-position model. The record is from RNAcentral.